AUUUGCACAUCUCUGCUGCCUCUGACUACUUCCGCGAGUGUAGGUUUUGGAUUAUCUGUCUCAACAGCUUCAACAUCAGCUGGUACUGGACUUUUUGGUUCCAUAACUGCUGAAAAUUGUAAUCUCCUUGCUGUUGUAUCACUCAUCCCUUCAUUUCUUUGUGAUCGAUCCUGAACUGCUUCUGCAUGCAAUUGAUCCUUCGAUUGGUACUUCAGAGG
This 218-nucleotide long non-coding RNA is filed under the name Nicotiana benthamiana. RNAcentral's name for it is "long non-coding RNA (NBEN_LNC016168)". The record is from RNAcentral. Lineage: Eukaryota; Viridiplantae; Streptophyta; Magnoliopsida; Solanales; Solanaceae.